Molecule: unclassified non-coding RNA, 223 nt
Filed under: plant metagenome
Description: partial contains small subunit ribosomal RNA, internal transcribed spacer 1, and 5.8S ribosomal RNA
Source: RNAcentral
UUUCCGUAGGUGAACCCGCGGAAGGAUCAUUAUCAUGUAAUUCAGUCCCCUUGGCUGUGUUAUAUAUAUACCCACUCUGUGUACCUUCUCCUGUUGCUUCCGCUGGGUGUGUAAUUCGCCCGGCGGAAGGGUAAAAAUAACCUCUGAGUAUUGAUGAAAUCUCUGUCUGAACCUAAUAGAAAGAAAAAUGUUAAAACUUUCAGCAACGGAUCUCUUGGUUCUC